CCUGGCUCAGGAUGAACGCUGGCGGCGUGCCUAUCAUGCAGUCGAGCGAACUGAUUAGAAGCUUGCUUCUAUGACGUUAGCGGCGGACGGGUGAGUAACACGUGGGCAACCUGCCUGUAAGACUGGGAUAACUUCGGGAAACCGAAGCUAAUACCGGAUAGGAUCUUCUCCUUCAUGGGAGAUGAUUGAAAGAUGGUUUCGGCUAUCACUUACAGAUGGGCCCGCGGUGCAUUAGCUAGUUGGUGAGGUAACGGCUCACCAAGGCAACGAUGCAUAGCCGACCUGAGAGGGUGAUCGGCCACACUGGGACUGAGACACGGCCCAGACUCCUACGGGAGGCAGCAGUAGGGAAUCUUCCGCAAUGGACGAAAGUCUGACGGAGCAACGCCGCGUGAGUGAUGAAGGCUUUCGGGUCGUAAAACUCUGUUGUUAGGGAAGAACAAGUACAAGAGUAACUGCUUGUACCUUGACGGUACCUAACCAGAAAGCCACGGCUAACUACGUGCCAGCAGCCGCGGUAAUAC
This 524-nucleotide ribosomal RNA is filed under the name marine sediment bacterium ISA-3162. RNAcentral's name for it is "bacterial SSU rRNA". It matches the Rfam family "Bacterial small subunit ribosomal RNA", at positions 18 to 526 of the family's 1533-position model. The record is from RNAcentral.